UGUACACCCGGUAAGUCGAAAACCCGCAAGGGCGGCUUAGGCAAAAAUGGGUAUCCCGGUGGAUUGAAAACCCGAAAGGGCGAUCCAGGCAAAAGUUAGGGAUUAAAGCGAAGACUACAGUCUGAGUUUGUCUGUACUUCAUCAAGCUUUAUCGUCUGCCAUCUCGAAAGAUGUGAUCCGUCCAGUCAUUCUUCUCAGAAAGCAAGGAGUUGGGAGGAAAACUGAUGAUCUGUGAGUUAUAACAGAAUUGGG
This 252-nucleotide long non-coding RNA is filed under the name Lathyrus oleraceus (garden pea). Its description in RNAcentral is "Pisum sativum (pea) long non-coding RNA (PSAT_LNC026565)". The record is from RNAcentral. Lineage: Eukaryota; Viridiplantae; Streptophyta; Magnoliopsida; Fabales; Fabaceae.